CAGUGUUCAGAAUAUCAAUCAAAACAAACACUCAGGAUGCGUUUCCUGUUGGAAACAUUCUGAUUGUAUAAUGGGAUAGCGCCUCUCGCAACUGCUUCGCCUGGCUGGACGAGAAAAAUCAAACAGUUGUGCGGGUCACCAUAAAUUCUCAGUAGUUUUAUCGUGACGGACGACAGUUUAAUAAAAGUACUUGUAAAAAUUUAAAAACACGGCGAAAGUGAACAUCUUUCCCUCACAAACACAACUACAAUUUGAUUUUAAUCCUACUGAUGUUAAAAAACGUUAUAACAACAAAUAAAUUUAUUAAUUUGCUGUAUAUCAAAUCAAACAAAAUACGCUAAUGAUCGGCUUCAUGUAUCACUCACUCACUGCCUGAUCCAUUCACUCCUGAUCGAAGACCAACAAGAUUCGCCAUAUGCAUUGAGCAUUGGUGAGAUUCCAAUUUGAUGAUGGUGCUGCACUGUUUUGACAGCAAGCAUCGUGCGAGGUGAUCUGUAUUUUAGCGAUGAAUUGAACGAUCGAUGAUCUGGUAGGUCCAGUAGCAAUCAAUAACGAAACCCGACCGCUGUACGUUCAGGUGCGAAGGGCAAUCAGAAACAUUCAUUGAAAAUGAGUGAUAUUUGGAACACUGGGU
Long non-coding RNA from Uranotaenia lowii, 634 nucleotides. RefSeq lists it as uncharacterized. NCBI's taxonomy places the organism in Eukaryota, Metazoa, Arthropoda, Insecta, Diptera, Culicidae. The transcript has 2 exons. The record is from RefSeq and is a predicted model, not a curated record.